Molecule: ribosomal RNA, 186 nt
Filed under: Escherichia coli
Lineage: Bacteria; Pseudomonadati; Pseudomonadota; Gammaproteobacteria; Enterobacterales; Enterobacteriaceae
Description: partial 16S ribosomal RNA
Rfam family: Bacterial small subunit ribosomal RNA
Source: RNAcentral
AAAUUGAAGAGUUUGAUCAUGGCUCAGAUUGAACGCUGGCGGCAGGCCUAACACAUGCAAGUCGAACGGUAACAGAAAGCAGCUUGCUGCUUUGCUGACGAGUGGCGGACGGGUGAGUAAUGUCUGGGAAACUGCCUGAUGGAGGGGGAUAACUACUGGAAACGGUAGCUAAUACCGCAUAACGUC